Molecule: non-coding RNA, 1099 nt
Organism: Hydra vulgaris (swiftwater hydra)
Lineage: Eukaryota; Metazoa; Cnidaria; Hydrozoa; Anthoathecata; Hydridae
Source: RefSeq, a predicted model, not a curated record
AUGACAUACAAAAGAGUUGUGAAUAAGCUCCCAUAAGCGUAUGAUUAAUGGCUCGCCAAAGGUACAAAAAUGCAUGGCGCAAAUUGUUUUUAAUGUAUAUGCAAUUUUUAAGAGAGAAAAAUAUAUUUAUGUUUUCAUUUAAGUAUAUAAUUUUCAUUUUAUAACAUCCAGUAUAUUUAGUAACCUAGGUUUUAGUUUUAAGCUAUUGAAUUGAAAGAAAAAAAAUUCGAGAAGUUCAAAUUAUUUUAUUUUAACUUUUAUUUAUUUAUUUAUCCGAAAUAAAUCAAGGGGAAAUGGUUAUUGAUGGAGCCUAUAACUAUGGUUAGAUAAAUAAAACUAGGUUUUAUUUUCCUCAGCCUAUUGACGCUUUGCCCAAAACAGUCGUUCAAAGCAAUUGCAAAAAACAUGGGUUGGACACUUCAGAUAAUGAACCUUCUAACACCACUGCUCUGGAUAUUAACCUCAAUAUUUCUUAUCUUAUACUUUUAUAUAUAUACUUUAAGGUGUUUAUAAUGUACCAUAAAAAUUUCUAUAUUUUAACACUAGACUUAUGUGUUUAGAAUACAGAAGUAACCUGAUGAAAAUUAUGAUAGUGACUCACAAGAUUUUAAUGAACAUCAAGAAUUAAAAAAGUCAUGCCUGCAGACACCUGUCUCUGUAUUAAACAAAAGUAAAACAAGAUUGGAAAAAGUGAUCAUAAUUACCUCUGUGAUUAAGUGAAGGGAGUUCCCAAAAAGGAAAGGAGCAAAAAAAUUGAGUUGGACAGGGCAAGAAGCAAUACGAAGAAAUUUGCUGACAAAAGAUACCACACAGCGAAAUUUAAAAGGCAGUUGUGGCUUUUUUUAUUGGAGCUCUAGACAGAAAUAGAGGCAGAAAAGAAAGAGCAGAAAAAAAGUCCAUCCAAAAAACCAGUUCAACAAAAAAUCGUGGCUAUACUGCCUAAUCAUUGACAUUGAAACCUUUAUCUGGAUUAUCAUUACCACGCUUUGAACGCUUUAUUUUUGAUGAAUCUGACAAAGUAUAAUGUUCUAAAAGUCUUGCAUGAUCUGUUUUAUAUGUUAUGUUUUAUAUUAAUUGUAUAUUUGACAUUAUUAUAAGC